GCAUAACGCGAAGAACCUUACCAAGGUUUGACAUCCCCUUGACAGAAGCAGAGAUGUUUCUCCCUUCGGGGGCAAGGGAGACAGGUGGUGCAUGGUUGUCGUCAGCCCGUGUCGUGAGAUGUUGGGUUAAGUCCCGCAACGAGCGCAACCCUUAUCCUUAGUUGCCAGCACAUAAUGGUGGGCACUCUAAGGAGACUGCCGAUGAUAAAUCGGAGGAAGGUGGGGAUGACGUCAAAUCAUCAUGCCCCUUAUAUCUUGGGCUACACACGUGCUACAAUGGUCGGUACAACGGGGAGCGAAGGAGUGAUCCGGAGCAAAUCCCAAUAAACCGAUCCCAGUUCGGAUUGUAGGCUGCAACUCGCCUACAUGAAGUCGGAGUUGCUAGUAAUCGCGAAUCAGAACGUCGCGGUGAAUGCGUUCCCGGGUCUUGUACACACCG
RNAcentral lists this ribosomal RNA (439 nucleotides) under uncultured bacterium. Its description in RNAcentral is "bacterial SSU rRNA". It matches the Rfam family "Bacterial small subunit ribosomal RNA", at positions 954 to 1392 of the family's 1533-position model. The record is from RNAcentral.